RNAcentral lists this ribosomal RNA (1473 nucleotides) under Leuconostoc mesenteroides subsp. mesenteroides. Its description in RNAcentral is "bacterial SSU rRNA". It matches the Rfam family "Bacterial small subunit ribosomal RNA". The record is from RNAcentral. Lineage: Bacteria; Bacillati; Bacillota; Bacilli; Lactobacillales; Lactobacillaceae.
AUGAACGCUGGCGGCGUGCCUAAUACAUGCAAGUCGAACGCACAGCGAAAGGUGCUUGCACCUUUCAAGUGAGUGGCGAACGGGUGAGUAACACGUGGACAACCUGCCUCAAGGCUGGGGAUAACAUUUGGAAACAGAUGCUAAUACCGAAUAAAACUUAGUGUCGCAUGACACAAAGUUAAAAGGCGCUUCGGCGUCACCUAGAGAUGGAUCCGCGGUGCAUUAGUUAGUUGGUGGGGUAAAGGCCUACCAAGACAAUGAUGCAUAGCCGAGUUGAGAGACUGAUCGGCCACAUUGGGACUGAGACACGGCCCAAACUCCUACGGGAGGCUGCAGUAGGGAAUCUUCCACAAUGGGCGAAAGCCUGAUGGAGCAACGCCGCGUGUGUGAUGAAGGCUUUCGGGUCGUAAAGCACUGUUGUAUGGGAAGAACAGCUAGAAUAGGAAAUGAUUUUAGUUUGACGGUACCAUACCAGAAAGGGACGGCUAAAUACGUGCCAGCAGCCGCGGUAAUACGUAUGUCCCGAGCGUUAUCCGGAUUUAUUGGGCGUAAAGCGAGCGCAGACGGUUUAUUAAGUCUGAUGUGAAAGCCCGGAGCUCAACUCCGGAAUGGCAUUGGAAACUGGUUAACUUGAGUGCAGUAGAGGUAAGUGGAACUCCAUGUGUAGCGGUGGAAUGCGUAGAUAUAUGGAAGAACACCAGUGGCGAAGGCGGCUUACUGGACUGCAACUGACGUUGAGGCUCGAAAGUGUGGGUAGCAAACAGGAUUAGAUACCCUGGUAGUCCACACCGUAAACGAUGAACACUAGGUGUUAGGAGGUUUCCGCCUCUUAGUGCCGAAGCUAACGCAUUAAGUGUUCCGCCUGGGGAGUACGACCGCAAGGUUGAAACUCAAAGGAAUUGACGGGGACCCGCACAAGCGGUGGAGCAUGUGGUUUAAUUCGAAGCAACGCGAAGAACCUUACCAGGUCUUGACAUCCUUUGAAGCUUUUAGAGAUAGAAGUGUUCUCUUCGGAGACAAAGUGACAGGUGGUGCAUGGUCGUCGUCAGCUCGUGUCGUGAGAUGUUGGGUUAAGUCCCGCAACGAGCGCAACCCUUAUUGUUAGUUGCCAGCAUUCAGAUGGGCACUCUAGCGAGACUGCCGGUGACAAACCGGAGGAAGGCGGGGACGACGUCAGAUCAUCAUGCCCCUUAUGACCUGGGCUACACACGUGCUACAAUGGCGUAUACAACGAGUUGCCAACCCGCGAGGGUGAGCUAAUCUCUUAAAGUACGUCUCAGUUCGGAUUGUAGUCUGCAACUCGACUACAUGAAGUCGGAAUCGCUAGUAAUCGCGGAUCAGCACGCCGCGGUGAAUACGUUCCCGGGUCUUGUACACACCGCCCGUCACACCAUGGGAGUUUGUAAUGCCCAAAGCCGGUGGCCUAACCUUUUAGGAAGGAGCCGUCUAAGGCAGGACAGAUGACUGGGGUGA